GACGAACGCUGGCGGCGUGCUUAACACAUGCCAGUCGAACGGAAAGGCCCUGCUUUUGUGGGGUGCUCGAGUGGCGAACGGGUGAGUAACACGUGAGUAACCUGCCCUUGACUUUGGGAUAACUUCAGGAAACUGGGGCUAAUACCGGAUAGGAGCUCCUGCUGCAUGGUGGGGGUUGGAAAGUUUCGGCGGUUGGGGAUGGACUCGCGGCUUAUCAGCUUGUUGGUGGGGUAGUGGCUUACCAAGGCUUUGACGGGUAGCCGGCCUGAGAGGGUGACCGGCCAAAUUGGGAGUGAGAUCCGGCCCAGACGCCGACGGGAGGCAGCAGGGGGGAAUAGUGAACAAUGGGCGGAAGCCUGAUGCAGCAACGCCGCGUGAGGGAUGACGGCCUUCGGGUUGUAAACCGCUUGCGGCUGGGAAGAAGCGUGAGUGACGGUACGGGGAAAAGAAGCACCGGCUAACUACGUG
This 468-nucleotide ribosomal RNA is filed under the name uncultured bacterium. RNAcentral describes it as "partial 16S ribosomal RNA". It matches the Rfam family "Bacterial small subunit ribosomal RNA", at positions 28 to 507 of the family's 1533-position model. The record is from RNAcentral.